RNAcentral lists this ribosomal RNA (515 nucleotides) under uncultured bacterium. Its description in RNAcentral is "partial 16S ribosomal RNA". It matches the Rfam family "Bacterial small subunit ribosomal RNA", at positions 28 to 523 of the family's 1533-position model. The record is from RNAcentral.
GAUGAACGCUGGCGGCGUGCCCAAUACAUGCAAGUCGAGCGAAUGGAUUAAGAGCUUGCUCUUAUGAAGUUAGCGGCGGACGGGUGAGUAACACGUGGGUAACCUGCCCAUAAGACUGGGAUAACUCCGGGAAACCGGGGCUAAUACCGGGUAACAUUUUGAACCGCAUGGUUCGAAAUUGAAAGGCGGCUUCGGCUGUCACUUAUGGAUGGACCCGCGUCGCAUUAGCUAGUUGGUGAGGUAACGGCUCACCAAGGCAACGAUGCGUAGCCGACCUGAGAGGGUGAUCGGCCACACUGGGACUGAGACACGGCCCAGACUCCUACGGGAGGCAGCAGUAGGGAAUCUUCCGCAAUGGACGAAAGUCUGACGGAGCAACGCCGCGUGAGUGAUGAAGGCUUUCAGGUCGUAAGACUCUGUUGUUAGGGAAGAACAAGUGCUAGUUGAAUAAGCUGGCACCUUGACGGUACCUAACCAGAAAGCCACGGCUAACUACGUGCCAGCCGCCGCCGUAA